UUGGGUUAGUGAGUAAUAAGGAUUCUUUGUGGACAAGAUCCACAAUCAAGCAUUCUUUCCCCUUCCAACUUCACUACCCACGAUUUUCCUUUUCCUUUCCUUCCUUUCUUCACACUCUUCUUUUAUCUCAACAACAAGCUUCUCUCCAUCUUGAGGCUUUACCUCAUUCUCUUCGAAUUCUAACUUGUGGAGAAUAGGCAUUAGAUUUUGUGAAAUGUAGGAUUUGUG
This 228-nucleotide long non-coding RNA is filed under the name Capsicum annuum. Its description in RNAcentral is "long non-coding RNA (CANN_LNC000219)". The record is from RNAcentral. Lineage: Eukaryota; Viridiplantae; Streptophyta; Magnoliopsida; Solanales; Solanaceae.